Motacilla alba alba is the source of this 326-nucleotide long non-coding RNA. RefSeq lists it as uncharacterized. NCBI's taxonomy places the organism in Eukaryota, Metazoa, Chordata, Aves, Passeriformes, Motacillidae. The record is from RefSeq and is a predicted model, not a curated record. The transcript has 3 exons.
GACAAGUCAUUGGUCCUCUGAAGGCCGAAACAAUUCUUUCUGUCUACUCUGUGAUGAAGGAGGAACAAGUGGACACAUUUUCCCUGUGGAAGUUGUCACAGAAAUUAGGGGCCAGAGAUGUGGAUCAGAAAGAGAAUGAGCUUUUCCUCUGUUUUGGCAGUGAUAUCCCAGCUGUUUUCAUUGCAAAUGUAGGAGCAGUGCCUCUGUGACUUCAGUAGGUGGAACAUUACACUGGAGCUGAAGAAGCAGAACCCCUUGGGAUGAGUCAUUUGUAUAUCCUGUGAUUGUGGUUUUGUUUACCAUCCUGCCAAGAUAAAGAUUAAAAU